Molecule: ribosomal RNA, 431 nt
Filed under: uncultured Alphaproteobacteria bacterium
Lineage: Bacteria; Pseudomonadati; Pseudomonadota; Alphaproteobacteria
Description: bacterial SSU rRNA
Rfam family: Bacterial small subunit ribosomal RNA
Source: RNAcentral
AACGAACGCUGGCGGCAGGCCUAACACAUGCAAGUCGAACGAACCCUUCGGGGUGAGUGGCGCACGGGUGCGUAACACGUGGGAAUAUGCCCUUAGGUAAGGAACAACGGCUGGAAACGGCCGCUAAUACCUUAUAAUGACUCCGGUCCAAAGAUUCAUCGCCUAAGGAUUAGCCCGCGUCUGAUUAGAUAGUUGGUGAGGUAACGGCUCACCAAGUCGACGAUCAGUAGCUGGUCUGAGAGGAUGACCAGCCACACUGGGACUGAGACACGGCCCAGACUCCUACGGGAGGCAGCAGUGAGGAAUAUUGGACAAUGGGGGAAACCCUGAUCCAGCCAUGCCGCGUGAGUGAAGACGGCCUUCGGGUUGUAAAGCUCUUUCAGAUGCGAAGAUAAUGACGGUAACAUCAGAAGAAGCCCCGGCUAAAUUCG